Molecule: ribosomal RNA, 499 nt
Filed under: uncultured bacterium
Lineage: Bacteria
Description: bacterial SSU rRNA
Rfam family: Bacterial small subunit ribosomal RNA
Source: RNAcentral
GGCGAACGGGUGAGUAAUGCAUCGGAACGUGCCCAGUCGUGGGGGAUAACUGCUCGAAAGAGCAGCUAAUACCGCAUACGACCUGAGGGUGAAAGCGGGGGACCGUAAGGCCUCGCGCGAUUGGAGCGGCCGAUGUCAGAUUAGCUAGUUGGUGGGGUAAAGGCCUACCAAGGCAACGAUCUGUAGUUGGUCUGAGAGGACGACCAGCCACACUGGGACUGAGACACGGCCCAGACUCCUACGGGAGGCAGCAGUGGGGAAUUUUGGACAAUGGGCGCAAGCCUGAUCCAGCAAUGCCGCGUGCAGGAAGAAGGCCUUCGGGUUGUAAACUGCUUUUGUCAGGGAAGAAAUCUUCUGGGCUAAUACCCCGGGAGGAUGACGGUACCUGAAGAAUAAGCACCGGCUAACUACGUGCCAGCAGCCGCGGUAAUACGUAGGGUGCGAGCGUUAAUCGGAAUUACUGGGCGUAAAGCGUGCGCAGGCGGUUAUGUAAGACAGA